RNAcentral lists this ribosomal RNA (253 nucleotides) under uncultured bacterium. RNAcentral describes it as "partial 16S ribosomal RNA". It matches the Rfam family "Bacterial small subunit ribosomal RNA", at positions 524 to 776 of the family's 1533-position model. The record is from RNAcentral.
CACGUAGGGGGCAAGCGUUGUCCGGAUUUAUUGGGCGUAAAGAGCUCGUAGGUGGCUGAGUAAGUCGGAUGUUAAAUCCCCAGGCUCAACCUGGGACACCACCCGAUACUGCUCUGGCUAGAGUCCGGUAGGGGAGCGUGGAAUUCCUGGUGUAGCGGUGGAAUGCGCAGAUAUCAGGAAGAACACCGAUGGCGAAGGCAGAUCUCUGGGCCGUAACUGACGCUGAGGAGCGAAAGCAUGGGGAGCGAACAGG